This 446-nucleotide ribosomal RNA is filed under the name uncultured bacterium. RNAcentral describes it as "partial 16S ribosomal RNA". It matches the Rfam family "Bacterial small subunit ribosomal RNA", at positions 338 to 795 of the family's 1533-position model. The record is from RNAcentral.
CCUUCGGGUGGCAGCAGUCGAGAAUCAUUCACAAUGGGGGAAACCCUGAUGGUGCGACGCCGCGUGGGGGAUUGAAGGCCUUCGGAUUGUAAACUCCUUACAUGUGGGCGCAAAUUAAAAAUAUAGUACCACAAGAGGAAGCGACGACUAACUCUGUGCCAGCAGCCGCGGUAAUACAGAGGUCUCAAGCGUUAUUCGGAAGCACUGGGCGUAAAGGGUGCGGAGGCUGUUUGGUAAGUCGUGUGUGUAAGGCGCGGGCUCAACCCGGGGACGGCCAAGGAUACUGCGAGACUAGAGUAAAGGAGGGGGAACUGGAAUUCUCGGUGUAGCAGUGGAAUGCGUAGAUAUCGAGAGGAACACUCGUGGCGAAGGCGAGUUCCUGGACAUUAACUGACGCUGAGGCACGAAGGCGAGGGGAGCGAAAGGGAUUAGAUACCCUUGUAGUC